UAAGAGUCGUUCAUUCAUUGGGCUAGUCAUACGUCAAUCACUUCAGCUGGGCCAAUGAGAACAGCAGCAUCCUCGCCAGAAAUAGAAGACACCCUCCCGGUGCAGACAGCAAAAGGCCUGUUUCAAGUGAGGGAUGGCUAGUUCAAGGACAGGAGGGUGACAUCACAAGGACCAAUCUGUAAGCCAGAAGACUCAGAAGACUAAAAAGGCAAAAUUAGGUGUGGAGUGGAAAGGGAGGGGGAAGCCCAGGAGUGUUUGCAAUUCUGGAUCUUAAGGCCAUUUAAAUUUUAAAGUUACUGGGGGCGGGAGACAGCGUGUAUGCCAUAACUGCAUGGGCAGAAGUCAGAAUAAACCUGGAAGGAGUUUAUUCGUUCCUCCUACC
This 382-nucleotide long non-coding RNA is filed under the name Mus spicilegus (steppe mouse). Its description in RNAcentral is "lncRNA (ENSMSIG00000018446.1)". Lineage: Eukaryota; Metazoa; Chordata; Mammalia; Rodentia; Muridae. The record is from RNAcentral.